Xenopus laevis (African clawed frog) is the source of this 348-nucleotide long non-coding RNA. RefSeq lists it as uncharacterized. The record is from RefSeq and is a predicted model, not a curated record. The transcript has 2 exons. NCBI's taxonomy places the organism in Eukaryota, Metazoa, Chordata, Amphibia, Anura, Pipidae.
CAAAGGCACACGUGCGCAACCGUGCGCAUACCAGGGCGCGUGUGAGAGCUUGCACAAUGUACAAAGUAUGGCGCGCGGGCGCAAACAAGCGCAGACAGGCCACCGUCAGCAGGCAGAGACAGACGCUCGCCCCUAUAUUCCGCUUUGAGUGAAAGACUGGAGAAACAACCUGACAAGGGGAUCGCCUUUCAUGUAGAAGAGAUCACUUUAAACAACUGCUUUAAUGAGCAUUGUCUAAUCACAGCACCUAUUAUAUAGGGAAGUCAUAAUACAGGACAUUGAAUUUGUAUUGUCUCUUUUGUAUUGGAUGCCAUAAAUGAAAGGUGGAAUAAAGCCAUUCUAAUAUUA